This 253-nucleotide ribosomal RNA is filed under the name uncultured bacterium. RNAcentral's name for it is "partial 16S ribosomal RNA". It matches the Rfam family "Bacterial small subunit ribosomal RNA", at positions 524 to 776 of the family's 1533-position model. The record is from RNAcentral.
UACAGAGGGUGCAAGCGUUGUUCGGAAUUAUUGGGCGUAAAGCGCGUGUAGGCGGCUUUGCAAGUCGGGUGUGAAAGCCCUCAGCUCAACUGAGGAAGCGCGCCCGAAACUGCAGAGCUUGAGUACCGGAGAGGAUGGCGGAAUUCCCCAAGUAGAGGUGAAAUUCGUAGAUAUGGGGAGGAACACCGGUGGCGAAGGCGGCCAUCUGGACGGAUACUGACGCUGAGACGCGAAAGCGUGGGGAGCAAACAGG